CUAAGACCAUCUCCAA
RNAcentral lists this small RNA (16 nucleotides) under Arabidopsis thaliana (thale cress). Its description in RNAcentral is "ATSL176990". The record is from RNAcentral. Lineage: Eukaryota; Viridiplantae; Streptophyta; Magnoliopsida; Brassicales; Brassicaceae.